CAGCGGCUCGCCGGUGGUGGGCGACACAUACGUGUUGUCCGUCUCGUCGAACUCGAAGAGGGGCAGCAGUUCGACACAGUUGACGCCGA
RNAcentral lists this transfer RNA (89 nucleotides) under Streptomyces hygroscopicus subsp. hygroscopicus. Its description in RNAcentral is "tRNA-Arg". Lineage: Bacteria; Bacillati; Actinomycetota; Actinomycetes; Kitasatosporales; Streptomycetaceae. The record is from RNAcentral.